Molecule: long non-coding RNA, 305 nt
Organism: Labeo rohita (rohu)
Lineage: Eukaryota; Metazoa; Chordata; Actinopteri; Cypriniformes; Cyprinidae
Exons: 4
Source: RefSeq, a predicted model, not a curated record
CCGCGAUAAUUCAGCCGUUUUGAAUUUUGUUUUUACAGGAGAGAACACUAACACUUUACCUGUGGGAAAUCAACGGGCGAACAACAAACGAUAAAGGACUUUCCUGCUUGGUCUUGUGAACACACAUUCAGAAGAAUUGGACAAAUUGAGGAGGAGUUUCUACAUCUGGAAAAGCUGUUGGAAAAAGAGGAGAUCCGGACAGCAAUGGUGUCAAAGUUGUGCAGAAUUGAAUGAAGAAAUCUCAAAGACAGUGCCAGAAGGAUGCUGGAAAGAUGCAGUGAUGACCAACUUGUACUUGAGUUGUG